GUGCUCAUUUUGGCAGCACAUAUACUAAAAAUUGGAAUGAUACAAAGAAGAUUAGCAUGGCCCUGGCGCAAAGAUGACACGCAAAUUCAUGAAGCGUUCCAUAUUUUC
This 108-nucleotide small nuclear RNA is filed under the name Nannospalax galili (Upper Galilee mountains blind mole rat). Lineage: Eukaryota; Metazoa; Chordata; Mammalia; Rodentia; Spalacidae. The record is from RNAcentral.